GUCGACGGUCUUGAUUUAUCAAGACAGUGGCAAACGGGUGAGUAACACGUAAGUAACCUGUCCCUAAGUAAGGAAUAACUUUAAGAAAUUGGAGCUAAUACCUUAUGUGCUGAUGGGGGUAAGGCUCCAUCAGUAAAGCCUUAGGGCGCUCAGGGAGGGGCUUGUGUCCGAUUAGCUAGUUGGUAGGGUAACGGUCUACCAAGGCUGUGAUAGGUAGCUGGUCUGAGAGGAUGGUCAGCCACAUUGGGACUGAGACACGGCCCAGACUCCUACGGGAGGCAGCAGCAAGGAAUUUUGUGCAAUGGGCGAAAGCCUGACACAGCGACGCCGCGUGGGGGAUGAAGGCUUUCGGGUUGUAAACCCCUUUUCUCAGGGAAGAAUAAUGACGGUACCUGAGGAAGAAGUCUCGGCUAACUACGUGCCAGCAGCCGCGGUAAUACGUAGGAGGCUAGCGUUAUCCGGAUUUAUUGGGCGUAAAGAGGGCGUAGGCGGUUCUUCAAGUCGGAUGUAAAAUCUCCCGGCUUAACUGGGAGGGACCAUUCGAUACUGUUGGGCUAGAGGGCAGCAGGGGGAGGUAGAAUUCCCGGUGUAGUGGUGAAAUGCGUAGAUAUCGGGAGGAAUACCAGUAGCGAAGGCGGCCUCCUGGGCUGUUGCUGACGCUGAGGCCCGAAAGCGUGGGGAGCGAACAGGAUUAGAUACCCUGGUAGUCCACGCCCUAAACGAUGGACACUAGGUAUGGGGAGUAUCGACCCUCU
RNAcentral lists this ribosomal RNA (755 nucleotides) under uncultured bacterium. RNAcentral describes it as "bacterial SSU rRNA". It matches the Rfam family "Bacterial small subunit ribosomal RNA", at positions 61 to 840 of the family's 1533-position model. The record is from RNAcentral.